CAGUAGCCGCGGGAAAACGGAGGGUGCAAGCGUUAAUCGGAAUUACUGGGCGUAAAGCGCACGCAGGCGGUCUGUCAAGUCAGAUGUGAAAUCCCCGGGCUUAACCUGGGAACUGCAUUUGAAACUGGCAGGCUAGAGUCUUGUAGAGGGGGGUAGAAUUCCAGGUGUAGCGGUGAAAUGCGUAGAGAUCUGGAGGAAUACCGGUGGCGAAGGCGGCCCCCUGGACAAAGACUGACGCUCAGGUGCGAAAGCGUGGGGAGCAAACAGGAUUAGAUACCCCAGUAGUCCCUGUCUCUUAUAC
This 301-nucleotide ribosomal RNA is filed under the name uncultured bacterium. Its description in RNAcentral is "partial 16S ribosomal RNA". It matches the Rfam family "Bacterial small subunit ribosomal RNA", at positions 509 to 807 of the family's 1533-position model. The record is from RNAcentral.